CGACGCUGGCGGCAUGCCUAACACAUGCAAGUCGAACGAGAAAGUUCCUUCGGGAGCAAUUAAAGUGGCGCACGGGUGAGUAACGCGUAGACAAUCUGCCCUUCAGUCUGGGACAACUUUUCGAAAGGAGAGCUAAUACCGGAUAACAAUGCAUGACACAAGUUGUAUAUUUGAAAGCUUUAUGUGCUGAAGGAGGGGUCUGCGUCCCAUUAGCUAGUUGGUAAGGUAAAGGCUUACCAAGGCAACGAUGGGUAGCGGGUUUGAGAGGACGAUCCGCCACACUGGAACUGAGACACGGUCCAGACUCCUACGGGAGGCAGCAGUGGGGAAUAUUGCACAAUGGAGGAAACUCUGAUGCAGCAAUGUCGCGUGAGUGAAGAAGGCCCUUGGGUCGUAAAGCUCUUUUAUGGGGGAAGAUGAUGACGGUACCCCAAGAAUAAGCACCGGCUAACUAUGUGCCAGCAGCCGCGGUAAUACAUAGGGUGCGAGCGUUGUUCGGAAUUACUGGGCGUAAAGGGCGCGCAGGCGGAAUAGUAAGUCGGAGGUGAAAGCCCGGGGCUCAACCCCGGAGGGUCUUUCGAAACUACUAAUCUAGAGAGGGUCAGGGGCCGGCAGAAUUCCUGGUGUAGAGGUGAAAUUCGUAGAUAUCAGGAGGAAUACCGGUGGCGAAGGCGGCCGGCUGGGGCCACUCUGACGCUGAGGCGCGAAAGCGUGGGGAGCAAACAGGAUUAGAUACCCUGGUAGUCCACGCCGUAAACGAUGAGCACUGGACGUCCGGAGGGUUCGACCCUUCUGGGUGUCUCAGCUAACGCAUUAAGUGCUCCGCCUGGGGAGUACGGUCGCAGAACUAACUAAUGGAUACG
RNAcentral lists this ribosomal RNA (863 nucleotides) under delta proteobacterium SCGC AAA240-N23. RNAcentral describes it as "SSU rRNA". It matches the Rfam family "Bacterial small subunit ribosomal RNA", at positions 31 to 912 of the family's 1533-position model. Lineage: Bacteria; Deltaproteobacteria. The record is from RNAcentral.